GAGUUUGAUCCUGGCUCAGAACGUACGCUGGCGGCACGCCUAACACAUGCAAGUCGAACGAAGUAGCAAUACUUAGUGGCAGACGGGUGAGUAACAUGUAGGUAUCUGCCCUUUGGCCUGGAAUAACACGAGGAAACUUGUGCUAAUACCGGAUAAGUCUUUACGGAGAAAGCUUUAUGCACCAUUGGAUGAGCCUGCACUUGAUUAGUUUGUUGGUAGGGUAAUGGCCUACCAAGACUGUGAUCAAUAGCUGAUUUGAGAGGAUGAUCAGCCACAUUGGGACUGAGACACGGCCCAAACUCCUACGGGAGGCAGCAGUGGGGAAUCUUGCACAAUGGAGGAAACUCUGAUGCAGCGAUGCCGCGUGAGUGAAGAAGGCCCUUGGGUUGUAAGGCUCUUUCGUCGGGGAAGAAAAUGACUGUACCCGAAUAAGAAGGUCCGGCUAACUUCGUGCCAGCAGCCGCGGUAAUACGAAGGGACCUAGCGUAGUUCGGAAUUACUGGGCUUAAAGAGUUCGUAGGUGGUUGAAAAAGUUAGUGGUGAAAUCCCAGAGCUUAACUCUGGAACUGCCAUUAAAACUUUUCAGCUAGAGUAUGAUAGAGGAAAGCAGAAUUUCUAGUGUAGAGGUGAAAUUCGUAGAUAUUAGAAAGAAUACCAAUUGCGAAGGCAGCUUUCUGGAUCAUUACUGACACUGAGGCACGAAAGCAUGGGUAGCGAAGAGGAUUAGAUACCCUCGUAGUCCAUGCCGUAAACGAUGUGUGUUAGACGUUGGAAAUUUAUUUUCAGUGUCGCAGCGAAAGCGAUAAACACACCGCCUGGGGAGUACGACCGCAAGGUUAAAACUCAAAUGAAUUGACGGGGACCCGCACAAGUAGUGGAGCAUGUGGUUUAAUUCGAAGAUACGCGCAGAACCUUACCAACACUUGACAUGUUCGUCGCGACUCUAAGAGAUUAGAGUUUUCGGUUCGGCCGGACGAAACACAGGUGCUGCAUGGCUGUCGUCAGCUCGUGUCGUGAGAUGUUGGGUUAAGUCCCGCAACGAGCGCAACCCUCACUUUUAGUUGCCAUCAUUAAGUUGGGCACUCUGAAAGAACUGCCAGUGAUAAGCUGGAGGAAGGUGGGGAUGACGUCAAGUCCUCAUGGCCCUUACGUGUUGGGCUACACACGUGCUACAAUGGUAUCUACAACAGGAAGCAAAACGGCAACGUUAAGCAAAUCCCGAAAAGAUACCUCAGUUCGGAUUGCACUCUGCAACUCGAGUGCAUGAAGCUGGAAUUACUAGUAAUCGUGGAUCAGCGUGCCACGGUGAAUGCGUUCCCGGGUCUUGUACACACCGCCCGUCACACCAUGGGAGUUGGUUCUACCCUAAGGCAAGGUUUUAAACCCUUGACCACGGUAUAGUCAGCGACUGGGGUGAAGUCGUAACAAGGUAACC
Molecule: ribosomal RNA, 1435 nt
Filed under: uncultured marine bacterium
Lineage: Bacteria
Description: bacterial SSU rRNA
Rfam family: Bacterial small subunit ribosomal RNA
Source: RNAcentral